UACGUAGGUGGCACGCGUUGUCCUGAUUUACUGGGCGUAAAGAGCGCGCAGGCUGUCGUCCAAGUCGGAUGUGAAAGCCCCCGGCUCAACUGGGGAGGGUCAUUCGAUACUGUUCGACUCGAAGGCAGGAGAGGGAAGUGGAAUUCCGGGUGUAGUGGUGAAAUGCGUAGAUAUCCGGAGGAACACCAGUGGCGAAGGCGACUUUCUGGCCUGUUCUUGACGCUGAGGCGCGAAAGCUAGGGGAGCAAACGGG
RNAcentral lists this ribosomal RNA (253 nucleotides) under uncultured bacterium. RNAcentral describes it as "partial 16S ribosomal RNA". It matches the Rfam family "Bacterial small subunit ribosomal RNA", at positions 524 to 776 of the family's 1533-position model. The record is from RNAcentral.